GGAUGCGAGGACCAUCAGGCUGUGACAUCUGUCACCCCCCUUACCGCUAGGGUUGAUAUGGGCUGGCUAGGCAGGUGCCCUCUUCCUCCCCUCACAGCUCCACCUGCGUCCCUCCUGAAGUUGUGCGAUUGCUUGGUCGAAGAGGCCGAGUUGGAGGACCUUUUGGCUUAAUGAAAACUGUAUGCCUACUCAUAAAUGUUUAAAUGCAUAAUGCACAUUUCUACGUGAACAUACAGUCUUCCUUUCUCCUGG
This is a non-coding RNA of Fukomys damarensis (Damara mole-rat), 252 nucleotides long. The record is from Rfam. NCBI's taxonomy places the organism in Eukaryota, Metazoa, Chordata, Mammalia, Rodentia, Bathyergidae.